CUGAGAGAGCGUAUCGCAGAGUAUCUCAGAAAGCAUCCAUCCAUCGGCAUCCAUCGGUUUUUGGGAUGCUGAGCGAGAGCUUCUGCUUUGGCAGCGCGCACUUGGCCAAAAUAGUUGUUGGUUCGCAUGCAAAACGUUAAAAUCGCAUUAGCUGAAAAACAUUUUUAUACCAACGGCGCGUUUUUAAUUUUUUCUACACUACAACAACACGAAAAAUAUAUAAAAUAAACUAGACAAAGUAGAUGGCGAAAAGUAAAACCAAAUACCAAAAAAUAACAAACAAAAACAACAACGAGUAAAACUAAACUUUUAACGUUCAACAAAUUCAUUGCGCAUACAUAAGUAUAAAUAAAUAAACGCGUGUAUAUAGAGAAAUACAUAUAAUAAAUGAUAAUUCAAUAAUUUUCAAACAACAAAAGUAAGAUGCUUAGAUGUAAUCGCAAAAAAAGUGUGUCAAGCCGUCCUCUUUACAAAGAAUCAACCCUAAACUAAAGUAAACUACGACUUUUUAAAGUUAUAAACCUUGAAAAGGACUAACAAAUCGCUGGUAGAAUAGCUGAACAAGGCGUGACUUGUGUGUGAGUGUACAUAACGAAGGAAAGUACGAGUAUGUGAGACCUGGGCGCAAGAAUGGCCGCCCACUUGCCUCUGGCCCACCUUUUGUGACCGUGCGUGUGAAAUAAAAGAGAAAAGUUAAAAGUAAAAAGUAAAAAAAAUACGGAAACGUAAAAAGAAAACGAACGCAACUACUACAAUCAGCGGCAAUGGAAUAGCGAUUCAAUGUCACAGUCAGUGAGCAGCAUCUAUGUGCACAGCAUCAGAUACAGAUACCCUUAUACAUAUACCCACUCUCACACGCACACCCACACAUGUGUGAACCGCUCACGUAUGUAGAGAAAAGCCAUAGCCGCAGAUUAGCGAGCCAGUUUUGAGGGGCCGACAUCGAAGAAAGGCGAAGACGACGACGACGACGACGACGACGACGACAAUCAACAUUCAUCAUACGCACCGUGGGACGCGGCGCAAAACGCAAAUGCAGCCCCUGAUCGAUCGAUUUUUGAUUUUGUAUCCCCAUCAUCACCACCACCACUAC
Drosophila erecta is the source of this 1093-nucleotide long non-coding RNA. RefSeq lists it as uncharacterized. The transcript has 3 exons. Lineage: Eukaryota; Metazoa; Arthropoda; Insecta; Diptera; Drosophilidae. The record is from RefSeq and is a predicted model, not a curated record.